This 253-nucleotide ribosomal RNA is filed under the name uncultured bacterium. RNAcentral describes it as "partial 16S ribosomal RNA". It matches the Rfam family "Bacterial small subunit ribosomal RNA", at positions 524 to 776 of the family's 1533-position model. The record is from RNAcentral.
UACGAAGGGGGCUAGCGUUGCUCGGAAUUACUGGGCGUAAAGGGCGCGUAGGCGGCGCGGUAAGUCGGGUGUGAAAUCUCGGAGCUUAACUCCGAAACUGCAUUCGAUGCUGCCGUGCUUGAGGACUGGAGAGGAGACUGGAAUUUACGGUGUAGCGGUGAAAUGCGUAGAUAUCGUAAGGAAGACCAGUGGCGAAGGCGGGUCUCUGGACAGUUCCUGACGCUGAGGCACGAAGGUCAGGGGAGCAAACGGG